UANGCCAUGCCCCCCCAUUGUAGCAAUACAAGGCAGACGGCUCAGUACCGCGUAGUCAACCUACCCUAUGGACGGGAAUAACCUCGGGAAACUGAGUAUAAUGCCCGAUAGAACACUAUACCUGGAAUGGUUUGUGUUCCAAAUGAUUUAUCGCCAUAGGAUGGGACUGCGGCCUAUCAGUUUGUUGGUGAGGUAAUGGCCCACCAAGACUAUUACAGGUACGGGCUCUGAGAGGAGUGGCCCGGAGAUGGGUACUGAGACACGGACCCAGGCCCUAUGGGGCGCAGCAGGCGAGAAAACUUUGCAAUGUGCGAAAGCACGACAAGGUUAAUCCGAGUGGUUUCUGCUAAAGGAACCUUUUGUUAGUCCUAGAAACACUGAUGAAUAAGGGGUGGGCAAGUUCUGGUGUCAGCCGCCGCGGUAAAACCAGCACCUCAAGUGGUCAGGAUGAUUAUUGGGCCUAAAGCAUCCGUAGCCGGCUCUGUUAGUUUUCGGUUAAAUCUGUACGCUUANCGUACAGGCUGCCGGGAAUACUGCANANCUAGGGAGUGGGAGAGGUGGACGGUA
RNAcentral lists this ribosomal RNA (567 nucleotides) under uncultured archaeon. Its description in RNAcentral is "bacterial SSU rRNA". It matches the Rfam family "Archaeal small subunit ribosomal RNA", at positions 45 to 617 of the family's 1478-position model. The record is from RNAcentral.